CACCGCGGUUAUACGGAAGGCCCAAGUUGACAAAAUACGGCGUAAAGGGUGGUUAAUAGAUAUUUUAAUAAAGUCGAACAGCUUACAUAGCUGUAAAAAGCUUAUGAAGAUAGGAAGCCCACCUACGAAAGUGACUUUAACACCUAUGAAUCCACGAAAGCUAGGGCA
Molecule: ribosomal RNA, 168 nt
Filed under: Pleurosicya mossambica (toothy goby)
Lineage: Eukaryota; Metazoa; Chordata; Actinopteri; Gobiiformes; Gobiidae
Description: partial 12S rRNA
Source: RNAcentral